UCCUCGUUUAAGCGAGGCAGUCUGUCCAGAGUGCUUCCUUCUCUCGAAGGAGUGGCAACAGGACACAAGGGUUGCGCUCGUUGCGGGACUUAACCCAACAUCUCACGACACGAGCUGACGACAGCCAUGCAGCACCUGUGCUAGAGCUCCGAAGAGGGGCUCCGCUUUCACGGAGCUUUCUCUAGCAUGCCAAGCCCAGGUAAGGUUCUUCGCGUUGCUUCGAAUUAAACCACAUGCUCCGCUGCUUGUGCGGGUCCCCGUCAAUUCCUUUGAGUUUUAGCCUUGCGGCCGUACUCCCCAGGCGGGGUGCUUAAUGCGUUAGCUUCGGCACGGACGGAGUCGACACCGCCCACACCUAGCACCCAUCGUUUACGGCGUGGACUAC
Molecule: unclassified non-coding RNA, 385 nt
Filed under: uncultured bacterium
Lineage: Bacteria
Description: contains 16S-23S intergenic spacer region
Source: RNAcentral